CGCACAUUGCGCCCUUUGGUAUUCCGAAGGGCAUGCCUGUUCGAGCGUCAUUUCACCACUCCAGCCUGGCUGGGUGUUGGGUGCCGCGGCCCCGCCGCGCGCCUCAAAGUCCUCCGGCAGAGCCGUCCGUCUCUACGCGUUGUGGUACUCCGAUUCGCGUAGGAGACCGGGUGGCGACGGCCGUUAAACCGAUUUUCUAAAGGCUGACCUCGGAUCAGGUAGGGAUACCCGCUGAACUUAA
This 241-nucleotide unclassified non-coding RNA is filed under the name Pseudocercospora cladrastidis. RNAcentral's name for it is "partial contains 5.8S ribosomal RNA, internal transcribed spacer 2, and large subunit ribosomal RNA". The record is from RNAcentral. Lineage: Eukaryota; Fungi; Ascomycota; Dothideomycetes; Mycosphaerellales; Mycosphaerellaceae.